RNAcentral lists this ribosomal RNA (1362 nucleotides) under uncultured bacterium. Its description in RNAcentral is "bacterial SSU rRNA". It matches the Rfam family "Bacterial small subunit ribosomal RNA", at positions 28 to 1387 of the family's 1533-position model. The record is from RNAcentral.
GAUGAACGCUGGCGGCGUGCUUAACACAUGCAAGUCGAACGAAGAUAUUUAGAAUGAGAGCUUCGGCAGGAUUUCUUUCCAUCUUAGUGGCGGACGGGUGAGUAACGUGUGGGCAACCUGCCCUGUACUGGGGAAUAAUCAUUGGAAACGAUGACUAAUACCGCAUGUGGUCCUCGGAAGGCAUCUUCUGGGGAAGAAAGGAUUUAUUCGGUACAGGAUGGGCCCGCAUCUGAUUAGCUAGUUGGUGAGAUAACAGCCCACCAAGGCGACGAUCAGUAGCCGACCUGAGAGGGUGAUCGGCCACAUUGGGACUGAGACACGGCCCAAACUCCUACGGGAGGCAGCAGUGGGGAAUAUUGCACAAUGGGCGAAAGCCUGAUGCAGCAACGCCGCGUGAAGGAUGAAGGGUUUCGGCUCGUAAACUUCUAUCAAUAGGGAAGAAAGAAAUGACGGUACCUAAAUAAGAAGCCCCGGCUAACUACGUGCCAGCAGCCGCGGUAAUACGUAGGGGGCAAGCGUUAUCCGGAAUUACUGGGUGUAAAGGGAGCGUAGGCGGCAUGGUAAGCCAGAUGUGAAAGCCAUGGGCUUAACCCGAGGAUUGCAUUUGGAACUAUCAAGCUAGAGUACAGGAGAGGAAAGCGGAAUUCCUAGUGUAGCGGUGAAAUGCGUAGAUAUUAGGAAGAACACCAGUGGCGAAGGCGGCUUUCUGGACUGAAACUGACGCUGAGGCUCGAAAGCGUGGGGAGCAAACAGGAUUAGAUACCCUGGUAGUCCACGCCGUAAACGGAUGAGUGUUAGGUGUUGGGGAGGGAUCAUCGGUGCCGCAGCUAACGCAAUAAGCACUCCACCUGGGGAGUACGACCGCAAGGUUGAAACUCAAAGGAAUUGACGGGGGCCCGCACAAGCGGUAGAGCAUGUGGUUUAAUUCGAAGCAACGCGAAGAACCUUACCAAGGCUUGACAUCCCGAUGACCGCUCUAGAGAUAGAGCUUCUCUUCGGAGCAUCGGUGACAGGUGGUGCAUGGUUGUCGUCAGCUCGUGUCGUGAGAUGUUGGGUUAAGUCCCGCAACGAGCGCAACCCUUAUCUUCAGUAGCCAUCAUUCAGUUGGGCACUCUGGAGAGACUGCCGUGGAUAACACGGAGGAAGGUGGGGAUGACGUCAAAUCAUCAUGCCCCUUAUGUCUUGGGCUACACACGUGCUACAAUGGCUGGUAACAAAGUGAGGCGAAACGGCGACGUUAAGCAAAUCACAAAAACCCAGUCCCAGUUCGGAUUGUAGUCUGCAACUCGACUACAUGAAGCUGGAAUCGCUAGUAAUCGCGAAUCAGCAUGUCGCGGUGAAUAAGAUCCCGGGCCUUGUACA